UACUACCUCUUCAACUAACUAUGCUCUAGCAGUAAUCCUAGAAAGAAACAGGUAACAUAUCCCCUUCAUCAUUUAUAUGCUCAUAAUCCUUACUCAUUUAAAACAUAGCUUUUGGCAAAGUUGUUAUUCUUGAAUCCAUCAUAGCCAAUUUAAUCAACUCACAUUUUGCAGAGGUCCAAUUUUCUACAAGUCAGCGUGGGAACCAUAUUACUGAUUUGUUGCACCUUGCACAUGAG
Molecule: long non-coding RNA, 236 nt
Filed under: Olea europaea (common olive)
Lineage: Eukaryota; Viridiplantae; Streptophyta; Magnoliopsida; Lamiales; Oleaceae
Description: long non-coding RNA (OEUR_LNC007140)
Source: RNAcentral